GAUCAUGGCUCAGGAUGAACGCUAGCUACAGGCUUAACACAUGCAAGUCGAGGGGCAGCAUGAACUUAGCUUGCUAAGUUUGAUGGCGACCGGCGCACGGGUGAGUAACACGUAUCCAACCUUCCGUUUACUCAGGGAUAGCCUUUCGAAAGAAAGAUUAAUACCUGAUAGUAUGGUGAGAUUGCAUGAUAACACCAUUAAAGAUUUAUUGGUAAACGAUGGGGAUGCGUUCCAUUAGGUAGUAGGCGGGGUAACGGCCCACCUAGCCGACGAUGGAUAGGGGGUUCUGAGAGGAAGGUCCCCCACAUUGGAACUGAGACACGGUCCAAACUCCUACGGGAGGCAGCAGUGAGGAAUAUUGGUCAAUGGGCGAGAGCCUGAACCAGCCAAGUAGCGUGAAGGAUGAAGGUCCUACGGAUUGUAAACUUCUUUUAUACGGGAAUAAAGUAUCCUACGUGUAGGAUUUUGUAUGUACCGUAUGAAUAAGCAUCGGCUAACUCCGUG
RNAcentral lists this ribosomal RNA (504 nucleotides) under uncultured bacterium. RNAcentral describes it as "bacterial SSU rRNA". It matches the Rfam family "Bacterial small subunit ribosomal RNA", at positions 15 to 507 of the family's 1533-position model. The record is from RNAcentral.